AGGACGAACGCUGGCGGCGUGCUUAACACAUGCAAGUCGAGCGGAAAGGCCCUUCGGGGUACUCGAGCGGCGAACGGGUGAGUAACACGUGAGCAACCUGCCCUUAGCUUCGGGAUAGCUCCGGGAAACCGGAAUUAAUACCGAAUAUGACUUUGGCUGACAUCAGCAGAAGUGGAAAGUUUUUCGGCUAGGGAUGGACUCGCGGCCUAUCAGCUAGUUGGUGAGGUACGGCCCACCAAGGCGACGACGGGUA
This 253-nucleotide ribosomal RNA is filed under the name uncultured bacterium. RNAcentral describes it as "partial small subunit ribosomal RNA". It matches the Rfam family "Bacterial small subunit ribosomal RNA", at positions 26 to 285 of the family's 1533-position model. The record is from RNAcentral.